GUGCAGCAGGCGAGAAACCUCCCCAAUGCCCGAAAGGGUGAGGGGGUCACCCCGAGUGCCACCCUCGUGGUGGCUUUUGCGGGGUCUAAAAAGCCCCGCGAAUAAGGGGAGGGCAAGACGGGUGUCAGCCGCCGCGGUAAUACCCGCUCCCCGAGUGGUGGGGACUAUUACUGGGCUUAAAGCGUCCGUAGCCGGCUGGGUGUGUCCCCCGUUAAAUCCACGGGCCUAACCCGUGGGCUGCGGGGGAUACUACCUGGCUUGGGGGUGGGAGAGGGCGGCGGUAUUCCCGGGGUAGGGGUAAAAUCCUCUGAUCCCGGGGAGGACCACCAGUGGCGAAGGCGGCCGCCCAGAACACGCCCGACGGUGAGGGACGAAAGCUGGGGGAGCAAACGGGAUUAGAUACCCCUGUAGU
RNAcentral lists this ribosomal RNA (412 nucleotides) under uncultured microorganism. Its description in RNAcentral is "bacterial SSU rRNA". It matches the Rfam family "Archaeal small subunit ribosomal RNA", at positions 330 to 745 of the family's 1478-position model. The record is from RNAcentral.